GACGAACGCUGACGGUGUGCUUUAGACAUGCAAGUCGAACGAGAAAGCCCUUCGGGUUAGUAAAGUGGCGAACGGGUGAGUAACACGUGGGCAAUCUGCCCCUCGCAGGGGGACGAACCGGAGGAAACCCCGGCUAAUACCCCGUAACGUUCAAAGGGAGGCAUCUCCCCUUGAAGAAAGGUAGCUUCGGCCAUCCGGCGAGGGAUGAGCCCGCGGUGCAUUAGCUAGUUGGUGGGGUAACGGCCCACCAAGGCGACGAUGCAUAGCUGGUCUGAGAGGAUGAUCAGCCACACUGGGACUGAGACACGGCCCAGACUCCGUACGGGAGGCAGCAGUCGGGAAUCUUGCGCAAUGGGCGAAAGCCUGACGCAGCAACACCGUGUGUGUGAGGAA
RNAcentral lists this ribosomal RNA (393 nucleotides) under uncultured bacterium. RNAcentral's name for it is "bacterial SSU rRNA". It matches the Rfam family "Bacterial small subunit ribosomal RNA", at positions 28 to 412 of the family's 1533-position model. The record is from RNAcentral.